AUUUGUUAAUUAAUUGAAUUUAAAUAAAACUAAAUAAAUAAAUAUUUCAAUGAGUAUCCUUGAACAUAUAUGUUUAUUCAUAUUAAUUAUUCCCCAAGAAUAGUGUAUUACUUUCCUAGGGCUGCCAUAACAAACUACCACAAAGUGGGUUGCUUAAAAUAUAAGAAAUGUACUGCCUCACAGUCUGGAGACAAGGAAUUCAAAACCAAGGUGUUAGCAGGGCCCCGAUUCCUCUGAAAUUCUUCCUUUUUUAUUCUAUCUUGUGUUGUUUGCUGUCAAUCCUUGAUAUUUCUCGGUUUAUACAGUGGUAUGAGACCCCUUAUCCAUGGUUUCAAUUUCUGUGGCUUUAGUUACCCAUGGUCAACUGCCUUCGGGAAGCAGAUGAUCUUCCUGACUGAUCCUGGGAAGGUCCAUAUUGCCCAGCACUACAUCAUAUGCCUGCGUCAGCCCUCAAAGUCGUCUUAUUAUGUCAGCGAGGUAUCGUCUCACAUCACCACGAGAAGUCUCUCCAUAUCCAAAGUCUGUAACAGAGACACUUCUUCCCAAGACCAUGAGCUGAAGUGUGGAAGGGGUCUCAAACUGAACUGAGCAGGGAUCAAAAGAUACAUGGGUGCCGUGAACCUAAAUUCCUUGAGUCCUCUGAGAGCAAGGCCAUGGCUCAGAAAAGCUCCACAGUCAAUGGCAAAAACCCACCCUAUGGUGACCUGGCCUGCAGGGUGACAAGCUGCAGAGUCACUAUGACCAUCAGAGAAAAGAGAUUUACCAAGAAAAGUGAUGAAGCCAGGGAGAUGCCUUCCACUCUGGAUUUGGAGCUAUCAUGCUGGGCCCUGCAGAACCCCCCGCACUGUCUCCUUCACCCAUAGAAGACUACAGAAUCUAAGUGGGCUUAUAGAGCACUCCAGCAAAGUUGGGAUGUCUCUGAAGACUGUCUUGGAACAUUUUUGUUCUUUCUUUCCUCUCAAUCACUGCUGAGUGGUGUUUUUCUUCACUUAUGCACUUAGAGAAAUCUUUGGUUUUUCAAGUCAAGUCUCUGAAGUAUGUCCACAUUUGAUCUUUAAUUUGUGUCAUUCUAUAGAACGCUGUCAGUUGUAUUUGAAUUUAAAAAAAAUUGCUGCCAACCUAAUAUAAUGGAUAGGAUACUGGAUCAGAAGAUGGGCGCCUGGGUGGCUCAGUGGGUUAAGCCACUGCCUUUGGCUCAGGUCAUGAUCUCAGGGUCC
This 1217-nucleotide long non-coding RNA is filed under the name Mustela putorius furo (domestic ferret). Its description in RNAcentral is "lncRNA (ENSMPUG00000027130.1)". Lineage: Eukaryota; Metazoa; Chordata; Mammalia; Carnivora; Mustelidae. The record is from RNAcentral.